CUUCAUCUGACUCUCCCCUCUCCCUUGGCUUGAGGUCCUAGGCCUAUAGGCCUCUUAGCCCAUUAUUUUUCUCCUGAAACCUUUUUUUUCACAUAUCCUCCCUCUGUCUUGACAUAGUUAAGGCCAUAUUGGGCCUUUGGAUGGGCCCUGAUCCGACUGCUUCUUCUACCCACGCACCUUAGGUGGCUCAGAUACACCCCUGCCUCACUUUCGUUUUUGUUUUUUUUUCAUUUUUGAUUACUUUUUUUUCCUUUUUCUUUGUUUUGUUUGAAUUUCAAUUUAGAAUCAUUUUAAUGCAUUUUUACAUGGAAAUACUUUGAAAAAUACUUAGAAAAUAAUACUUAGAUUUUAUUGUUUCAUUUGUUUUUACCAUUUAAUUCAUAUUUUGAGAAAAUAAUAAAAACAAUACACAUUAGUUUAGCAAUAAAUCAUUAGUAUUAUAAUUUAUUGUCCAUUAGAUCUUUUUAGAAAUAUUAAACAUGUUCAUAUUAGAUUAGUUUGAUU
Molecule: long non-coding RNA, 504 nt
Filed under: Lathyrus oleraceus (garden pea)
Lineage: Eukaryota; Viridiplantae; Streptophyta; Magnoliopsida; Fabales; Fabaceae
Description: Pisum sativum (pea) long non-coding RNA (PSAT_LNC017622)
Source: RNAcentral